GUGAAUCAUCAAAUUUUUGAACGCAAAUUGCACUCUCCUCUAAGAGUAUGCCUAUUUCAGGGUCAGCCUAUAAAAAAUCUACAUCGUUGCCUUUUCGCUGCGUCGUUCUUCGGCAACUGUGUCUUCUUAAAUCUUUUAGCUUUAAGCGACUUAAAAUUUUCUUUUUGGUUCCAUGAACACUUCUAAGAUUUACUUACACGUUUAAGGUAUCGAUUUUUAUUAGACUUUGCCGUUUCAUCGGAUCAC
RNAcentral lists this unclassified non-coding RNA (246 nucleotides) under Glomus sp. Its description in RNAcentral is "partial internal transcribed spacer 2". The stretch from base 1 to 65 matches the Rfam family "5.8S ribosomal RNA", at positions 84 to 154 of the family's 154-position model. Lineage: Eukaryota; Fungi; Glomeromycota; Glomeromycetes; Glomerales; Glomeraceae. The record is from RNAcentral.